CGGACGGGUGAGUAACGCGUGGAAAACCUGCCGUAUACUGGGGGAUAACACUUAGAAAUAGGUGCUAAUACCGCAUAAGCGCACAGCUUCGCAUGAAGUGGUGUGAAAAACUCUGGUGGUAUACGAUGGUUCCGCGUCUGAUUAGCUUGUUGGUGGGGUAAUGGCUCACCAAGGCGACGAUCAGUAGCCGGCCUGAGAGGGUGAACGGCCACAUUGGGACUGAGACACGGCCAACUCCUACGGGAGGCAGCAG
This 253-nucleotide ribosomal RNA is filed under the name uncultured bacterium. RNAcentral describes it as "partial 16S ribosomal RNA". It matches the Rfam family "Bacterial small subunit ribosomal RNA", at positions 99 to 354 of the family's 1533-position model. The record is from RNAcentral.